CCUACGGGAGGCAGCAGUGAGGAAUAUUGGUCAAUGGACGGAAGUCUGAACCAGCCAUGCCGCGUGCAGGAAGAAGGCUCUAUGAGUUGUAAACUGCUUUUGUACAAGGGUAAACCUGAAUACGUGUAUUCAGCUGAAAGUACUGUACGAAUAAGGAUCGGCUACCUCCGUGCCAGCAGCCGCGGUAAUACGGAGGAGCCAAGCGUUAUCCGGAUUUAUUGGGUUGAAAGGGUGCGUAGGCGGAUUGAUAAGUUAGAGGUGAAAUGUCCGAGCUUAACUCGGGAACUGCCUCUCAUACUGUUGAUCUAGAGCGUAGGUGCGGUAGGCGGAAUGUCUGGUGUAGCGGU
This 347-nucleotide ribosomal RNA is filed under the name uncultured bacterium. Its description in RNAcentral is "partial 16S ribosomal RNA". It matches the Rfam family "Bacterial small subunit ribosomal RNA", at positions 338 to 682 of the family's 1533-position model. The record is from RNAcentral.